This 367-nucleotide long non-coding RNA is filed under the name Homo sapiens (human). RNAcentral's name for it is "non-protein coding lnc-ATG2A-2:1". The record is from RNAcentral. Lineage: Eukaryota; Metazoa; Chordata; Mammalia; Primates; Hominidae.
GGGAUGGCCACUGUGAAGGACGCCUUCCCAGCCUGCCCGUUGCCAAUCUGCUGUGAGAGGGGGGCCUCCCUGCCUUGGGGCCUUAGCCCUGGCUCUGCACUUUUCCUCCGGGGAGAAAGGACACUGCCCCUCCCCCGACCUGGGCCCACACUGCUGCCUUCUCCCAGGACGGAGGCUUUUGGACCCUCGGACCCCAUCCCACUCAGCCAAGUGUCUUUCUGUGUCUGGGGGGAGGAGGGGAUGAUAUCCGUGUGGUUCGAUGUAUUAUUUUUAAGCUCCGUGAGUGCGUGGGUCAGUGUCUGCAUGAAGUGGAAUAAACUGCCCACCGCCAGCCCCCCUCUCAGAUCCUCUGUCCCUGUGAACCCUG